This 1173-nucleotide long non-coding RNA is filed under the name Parus major (Great Tit). Its description in RNAcentral is "lncRNA (ENSPMJG00000004976.1)". The record is from RNAcentral. Lineage: Eukaryota; Metazoa; Chordata; Aves; Passeriformes; Paridae.
CCGGAGCAGCGCCAGCAACACCAAGACGUACCGAUCCUCACAUUUCGGGUCAGAUUUGCAGAGUUUCAGUCAACCUGCAGGCUAGCUGCUGCUGCGCCUUCACAUGCAUUUAAAGACUAUAAGAAACAGCAAUUAUGUUAUUUCUCAUCUUGUGCAGCACAACCCGCUGCAGCUCCUCGGUCUCCCCCCGGGGUCGGGUUAAACCAGGAGCUCUCAGCAAGGGCCCGGGUCAGGCAGGGACCCGGCCGGGGCAGCCUCCCGCUGCCACCUCACCCGAGACCCGAACCGGGGCAGCCCCGCACCGGACCAGCCUCUGGGGAUCAGGAACCGCUGCCACAGGGCAGGCGGGAAAACAGAAUCACACAAUCAACUAGGUUAGAAAAGACCUCUGAGAUCAUCGAGACCGAGCACCACGGUGUACAGAGAGCCCGAUACCGCCGCUGGCCCCGACCCGCACCCCCGGGCUGCCCCUCACCCCGGAGCCGGUUCCCCCGCCGGGGCCGCCUCCCCUCACGCCGCCACCACGGCCCGUGUCCCGCACAACCCCGCACUCACCGCGGCGGUGGCAUCACCCCUUCGCCCGCUGUGGCGCCCGCUGUGGCGGCGCUGGCGCCAUGUGACCGCUGCCUCCUCCUCCUUCUCCUCCCCAUUCUCCUCCUCUUCCUCCUCCUCCUCCUCCGCCGCCAUGACAGGCAGGGCUGGGGCGGCCGGAGAACAUGGCGAGACCUGAGGGCUAUCGCCGAGGCGCUGUGGGGCUGUGGCCUGCGUCCCUUUUUCCGAGCUGUGAGGGGAAUCAGGAGUGCAGGGCUUUGGAUGUGCGGCUUUCACUCCCUCCCCUCAGAUUUGCUGUGUAUGUCUCAUCGCACUGGGUUUACACGGUGUCUGGCAGCUCUUUGUGACGAUCAGAGCCUUUUCCAGCCCCUCGAGGUAUUUGUUUCGGGCUUUUCAUCCCUACAUGGCCCCCUGGAAGUUGGGACAGAAUUGUUUGGGUCGGAAAGGCUCUUUGGAGAUCCCAUCCUGCCCGACUCUGCCAAGGCAGGUUCACAUGGAGCUGGUGACACAGGAAUGUGUCCAGGUGGAUUUGGAUCCAGAGAGGGGAGACUCCGUGACCUUCCUGGGCAGUUGUUCCAGUGCUCUGCCACACUCAAUGUAAAGAAUGUCUUACUCAUCUAG